UUCCAUUUAUCAUGUUAUUAAAAUAUUUUGUUUAUAGACUUCAUCCAAAUUCUAGCCCAGGUUUUAACAAAAAUAAUUAAAAGGAAAAGCCACCGAAAAACAAACAAACAAAAAAAAACCACACCUAGAGGUCAGAAGUUUGAAGACUUCUCGAACAUAAAUUAUGGAAAGUAUCUGUGUCGGUGAAACCGUCUCUGUGUUUACCAGGUAUUUGAUCAAUACCAAUAUGUGCAGAAUCUAACACUAACACUUGUCAUACAGAUUUUGGAGAGCAAAAGUUAUCAAAGAAUUGUCGCUGCGUCAAAGCCUGUGGGCGUGGCCAAGUCUCAAAAUCUGACCAUUCGCUCUCAGUGUGUCUGACGAAGUGGGUAAAAGUAUCCAUAUUCUUCACACACCUUAAACUUCAUUGUAUUUUAUAAGGACUUGACAAAAUCACACUAAUAUUUUCAAACAAAAUGUUAAAUUUUACCCAUCUCUACUCUGAUACCCCAAAAUGAAAAAGUGGAACUAGUUGCCUCAGUUAUUCCCUAAUGAGGAAUAUUAGUCUAGAACUGACACCUUCCAGGAUAGAGGCACUCAGGUUCUCCAUCUAUAGGUGUUCACGUUUUUCCUGUGUUGUAGAUUCUAUCUUUUUCUCCAUCUCUUUGAGCCUACUUUUUAAUCUGCUGACACACACACACGCCACAGCUUACACAACCAUGUUUUUGUAUGACUGACGCCAGUCGCUUUCUGCUGGAUAUAUCUUCCUGUUGGAGGGAAGUUUUUCCACUGUCACUGUUAUGUAUGUGAUAAAACAAUACAUUAUUCAAUGGCACUAUUUUGUGUACUAUGUGGAAGAAUACCAAAUGUGGUAUCAGCGCAUUGAUCUCACUAUGUUCUUGGGAAAAAUGUUUAGUAAACUAAGUCACGUUCCACUGAGGUUCUGUUGAGUUCAUAUAGUUAAGUUAUGAGAAGAAACACAACAGUCGCUAUGUGUUUGUCCAACAGGACUGGGUUUCUUUAAAUGGAAAACUUUAAGCUUAUUUGAAUGAAAACAUAACCUUGACGCAACUGUUUGAUAACUCGAAUCAAUUUAGAAUGUAUGGAAGUGAAUAACGAAGAUGUAGCCUAUCACAAAAAAUACCGACAAAUAUAUGAAACUUUUGAUUGCAAUGUAAUCAAAAGAUACAUUACAACUUCAAGGAACUGCACACCCGAGUGUUUCGAAUUGAACUGGUAAAACCAGGAAAGAUACCACAGCUCACACACACACACACACACACCGCACAAUAAUACUGCAGGAACAAAGCCUUUUAAGAGUCAGAGUCACACCUGGCAGUGUUAUGUUUCUCACUCGGGUUACGCAACCUUUGAGCCAUCGUCGUCUACAGACGGCAAAACACUGACCCCGACCCACAGGAAGUUACACCUGAGGAACUUUAAAGAUAGGUGGGGGGCAAGGGGAUAAUAAAAUAAGCUUUAAAAAAAAAUCAGGUCAUAGAUCGAAAUGAGCUCUGUGGUCAGGGUGACACCCGACCUUUAGAUUCUUAAAUGUUUUGUAGCUCCCAAAACAUUCUCAGCCAGGUCCUUCACGCUCCACACACACAGAUUACAGGACCCUGUGGUGUCUAGUGUUUUGCCAUUCACAAACAUUUUAGCCUUCAUCUGUAAACACGCCGUGCGCUAUCCGAGUUUUCCACAAAGUCUUCGGCUACAGCUGCGCCUCAGUCUGGUUAGCUGCCUGCGUUAGGUACGUGAGGAGGUGUUUUUUUUUUUUUCUUUUUUGUCUAGCCAGGACCAGAUGGCAGGGAAUGUUUAGUCAAAUGGGAUUAGAGAUUAGGAUUAAGUGGACUUUAAAUUACUCAGACGCACAGUCACUGGAUGACACACUACUACGCCGCAGCUACGAGUUGAAGAGGAGAACAACACGCCAAUUUUUUAAAAACUCCUCCGGUGUAAAAGUGGUGAAAACUUAGCAAGACGAAAAAUGUAAUGUUGCAUAAAAUGCAACAUUAUGAAAUAUACCGCUAAACAUUGCAGGGGGGGAAAAAAUAGAUUUAUAUUCAAGGAGAAAAAGUUAAAGACUGUACUUAUACUUUAACCAUAAGAAUCCUGACUAUUCACUUCUUUAUGUCAAACAAGGACGAAUCAGAAAUCCUAUUAGUCGAUACAAAAAGAGAAACAAGGACCAUUCACCUCGGGGAAAAACAAAGUCACUGGGUUAAAGGGUUAAAUAAGGUCACAAGUGGCUGUUUCCCAUUCACAUCUCAGGAAAUCAAAGUUGCAAAACAGCAUUUUUUUGUUUUCCAUUUCCAUCUUUCAGACACUAAAAUAAGGUAAUUUGGAUUUGAAGAGAUGAAGAAAACUAAUGGAUUUCUUUUAAACAGACCAGUUCAUUGUAGACCCAGUCAGAUGUUUGGACACUCAGUUUGGAAAACAAAUAAUCAGCUUUGAACGUUUUUGAUGAUUCUUAUGAAAGAACCGUACAAAACAGAAUCUUGUUUCGUUUUAUUUACUUUACAUUAUGGUUAGAGCUCCUCAUUGCAUUUUCGAAACCAUUUGAAAGAAGGUUUAGUGCAGUUUAUUUCUACAUGUUUGACCAAGGUAGUCAACCUAUUGUUUCUGUCCGUUUCAGUUUCUUUAUUUAUUUUACAAUGGCUGCUAUUCUUCUAAUUGCACCGAGUGAAUAAAUUAAAGUUGUUUUCACGAGUUUGACCUAGCUUGAGAUGUUGUCAGUGCAUCUAGGUGUGGCGUUCUGGUGCAGAGUAAUCAAAUACAUUUAUAAUUCAGUGCAUUUAUGUCUGUGUUUUUCUGCAUCGGCUCGGUGUCGGUCGGUGCUAACCCUCAGAUAUCGGAAUCGGUAUUGAAAGUGAAAAAGGUGGAUCGGCCCGUCCCUACACCCUACAUGCCAAUUGGUGCAGUGCUGUUGGGUUAUUGUGUCUGUUCUUGGGGCCUAUUCCAACCACACCCAAGCAGUUGACACACUGUUUCUCAUCUUUUAAUGUAAGCUAGUACAUUGAAAAAUGUGCGUUACAUAGGUCUAACCCAGAGGAAAUGAAGGAAAUUCUCUGGGACAUUAAGGUCCUGUCGUUUCUUUAAAGAAUGUCUGGCGGUUUUGAUAGAACUGGUUCUGAAUAUUGAGCGCUUAUUGGGAUCAAAGGUGUGGAACUGCCAUCGUUCCACAGCGUCAGGACAAACGCCUCAGUUUUACCACAAACUUUUGUUUUACUUAGUUAUUCAUUUAUAACAACAAGCCAAAAGGGGUCCAACACAUCAGCUUACAAGGAGAUCUGUCACAGAAAGCAAUAAAUCAGUUAAUCCCAUGAUAAAUUAAAACAAACUCGCUAACUUUUGUUUGCAUAAUUUAUUUUUUCUCUUUUCUCUCUGGAUGAUAAAAAUCUUCAUUCUGGUGCUUUGGUUUUAAUUAGACCCUGUUAAGAAGCACAGAGACUUCCAUUAUUUGUUGUUUUGUUUACUUACUUUGGAUAUUUAAAAUGUCUUCCAGUUCAAGUACUAAAGGCUCAUUAGAAUUUGAAGUUUAAUGAUCUUUAAGAAUGUGUUUUUGCGUUGUUUUUCCAUUACCAUUACAUUACUUGAAAAUGGUCUCAAAACAACAAUAUUAUCGUUUAUCGCGAUAACUUCUUAGACAGCUUAUCGUCCAACACAAUUUGUCUUCUUAAAAGGUCUAAUCAUAGGGUUAAAACAUCCGAUUCAAACACGGCUACACUGCGUCUUCUUAAACUUGGUAUGUAGAUAUCUGGUUUCGACAGCACAAAGGUCAGAGAGCACGCUACACAAGCCGGGCUGCGGCUCCCCUGCGCGUGGCCUCAGCUGCAGGAACAUUUACAUUUACAGCCUCGGUUCAGUGGGACGGGGCCGCGAGCCGAGGAUGGAAAAACCGAGCGGAAACAGGACGAGCGGUUGUGCAGUGAGUGCAGGAAAGCAUCUGCAAGAGGCAAGAAUCAGGACACGGCGUCAACAGAGCUGCUGCGUUCGAGCCAAUGAAGUUUAGGAUAUGAGCUCCAGCGCUUUGUUCCUGAAGUCCACCACCGUGUAGGUCCGCACCAACGGGUCCACAAAGUCCAACAUGUGGUGUGCGCAUUGGGCGCGCUCUUCGGCAG
This is a long non-coding RNA of Xiphophorus hellerii (green swordtail), 4100 nucleotides long. RefSeq lists it as uncharacterized. Lineage: Eukaryota; Metazoa; Chordata; Actinopteri; Cyprinodontiformes; Poeciliidae. The transcript has 3 exons. The record is from RefSeq and is a predicted model, not a curated record.